UACGGAGGGUGCGAGCGUUAUCCGGAUUUACUGGGUUUAAAGGGUGUGUAGGCGGGCUGGUAAGUCAGGGGUGAAAUCCCGGAGCUCAACUCCGGAACUGCCUUUGAUACUACUGGUCUUGAAUAUUGUUGAGGUGGGCGGAAUGUGUCAUGUAGCGGUGAAAUGCAUAGAUAUGACACAGAACACCGAUUGCGAAGGCAGCUCACUGGGCAAUGAUUGACGCUGAGGCACGAAAGCGUGGGGAUCAAAC
This 250-nucleotide ribosomal RNA is filed under the name uncultured bacterium. RNAcentral describes it as "partial 16S ribosomal RNA". It matches the Rfam family "Bacterial small subunit ribosomal RNA", at positions 524 to 773 of the family's 1533-position model. The record is from RNAcentral.